This 490-nucleotide ribosomal RNA is filed under the name uncultured bacterium. RNAcentral describes it as "partial 16S ribosomal RNA". It matches the Rfam family "Bacterial small subunit ribosomal RNA", at positions 30 to 507 of the family's 1533-position model. The record is from RNAcentral.
AUUGAACGCUGGCGGCAGGCCUAACACAUGCAAGUCGAACGGUAACAGGAAGAAGCUUGCUUCUUUGCUGACGAGUGGCGGACGGGUGAGUAAUGUCUGGGAAACUGCCUGAUGGAGGGGGAUAACUACUGGAAACGGUAGCUAAUACCGCAUAACGUCGCAAGACCAAAGAGGGGGACCUUCGGGCCUCUUGCCAUCGGAUGUGCCCAGAUGGGAUUAGCUAGUAGGUGGGGUACCAGCUCACCUAGGCGACGAUCCCUAGCUGGUCUGAGAGGAUGACCAGCCACCCUGGAACUGAGACACGGGCCAGACACCUACGGGAGGCAGCAGUGGGGAAUAUUGCGCGAUGGGGGCAAGCCUGAUGCAGCCAUGCCGCGUGUAUGAAGAAGGCCUUCGGGUUGUAAAGUACUUUCGGCGGGGAGGAAGGGAAUAAAGUUAAUACCUUUGCUCAUUGACGUUACCCGCAGAAGAAGCACCGGCUAACUCCGUG